RNAcentral lists this ribosomal RNA (489 nucleotides) under uncultured bacterium. RNAcentral's name for it is "partial 16S ribosomal RNA". It matches the Rfam family "Bacterial small subunit ribosomal RNA", at positions 30 to 507 of the family's 1533-position model. The record is from RNAcentral.
UUGCACGCUGGCGGCAGGCCUCACACAUGCAAGUCGAACGGUAACAGGAAACAGCUUGCUGUUUCGCUGACGAGUGGCGGACGGGUGAGUAAUGUCUGGGAAACUGCCUGAUGGAGGGGGAUAACUACUGGAAACGGUAGCUAAUACCGCAUAACGUCGCAAGACCAAAGAGGGGGACCCUCGGGCCUCUUGCCAUCGGAUGUGCCCAGAUGGGAUUAGCUUGUUGGUGGGGUAACGGCUCACCAAGGCGACGAUCCCUAGCUGGUCUGAGAGGAUGACCAGCCACACUGGAACUGAGACACGGUCCAGACUCCUACGGGAGGCAGCAGUGGGGAAUAUUGCACAAUGGGCGCAAGCCUGAUGCAGCCAUGCCGCGUGUAUGAAGAAGGCCUUCGGGUUGUAAAGUACUUUCAGCGGGGAGGAAGGGAGUAAAGUUAAUACCUUUGCUCAUUGACGUUACCCGCAGAAGAAGCACCGGCUAACUCCGUG